UUCUGUCUAUGUAUACAGGGUUCAUACAAAGUGUUUCAAGCACUUGAAUUUGGCUUUUUGAAAUGUCAAGAACCUGGAGAACCUUGAAAAUAGCCAUUUUCUAUCUAGUAGUGCUUAAAAAAUGUUUGAAUUAUAAAAAGUCAUUAAAUAGAACAUUGCUAAAUAACUUCAGUGUUCAUUUUUAACAGAACACAAAUACAACCCUGUCACUCGAACAGAAAACUGUGUAAAUGAGAACAGCUUUAUUGGGAAUUCGGCCGUAUGAAAAUAGAGUGCGCACAGAGAGUAGGAAAGAGGCAAACGGAUGUAAAGUUUGAACACACUAUUUCUCCACCUUUAUUAUUUUUUAUUUACUUCACAGAAAAGAUCUGACAAGCAACUUUAUAAAUUUCUAAGACGACGUUACAGUCAACACCAAGUAGCACAAAGAAAAGUUCAAACAUAAGGGCAGAUAAAAACGUGUCCGUGUUGAACGCACACAUGCUGCUCAUCUGGACUUCAGGACACAUCCGCAGCACCUAGAUAGAAACACAUGGAAAAAUCGAGCCAUCGGUAUAUUGAAUUGACUUCUGGCUUAUUUUUUUGUUACGUUAUGAUACACGAUAUUGGUUGUCGGUCAUCUUAUCCGUUUCAACUCCCUGCCUAAUAAAAAAAAAAAAAAGUCCUCAGUGAGAUUAAAUUGUGAGCAUUAGCUUUAUUUGGAUUCUGAGCAUUAUUUACUAGGUGGGUGUUAAGUCAUGAAAGAGGCUGUUCAUAGAAGAUGUGUCUGUUCCUUGCACAGGAUCCGGGCCCAUGUGGACGCCCUUUGAUCCAGUUUUUGCAAGAGGUUGCUAUACCCCCCUGUUAUGGCCACUAGAAACACUGGCAGCCUCCAGUGGGCAAAGCAUAGGAGGAGAGAUUUAUUAUACAAAUAAAAAUAAAUAAAUAAAUACAUAAGCAAGCUGUCUACAUGCUUUCUAGCUUUGCAUCCAGGAUGUGGAUUUUUGUGCUCUCACACUGGAAUUGGUAGAAGUUUCAGUUCAAGAAUAGUAUUUCCUUGCUACAAAAAAUAAUUUUAUUUAUUUAUUUUCAAAGUGGCUAAAUUAUUGCCAACCUGUAUGAUGUUUAUACAAGCACCUACAACCUUAUUAAUAUCACAGGACGAGGUUCGAUGCCGUAUGUUAAUGAUAGGGGUAUUGGUCAUUUUAAAAGCUUUGUGGAUAGUGCAGUAAUCAAGCUCAAAAUAUCCUCCACCGAAUGCUCUUCGGUUUCACCUUGGUUUCAUGAAUCCUGCCAACCAAUAUAUUCUGGAGGUGAUCAGCUUGCUCACCCGGGCACUUGACAUGGCACGUCAUCUUAUUUUCUCAGCUCGUGCGUUCUUUCAGCUCCUGUAGACAAGGUUUAUAAUUGAUAUCAGAGCGAUAUGAACAAACAUGAGAAAUAAAGAUUUGUUUUAUUUAAAGAGAAAGUUUGUUUCUCCCGACAGGAUCCGAAGCAAGGAAAGAUCAGCCUUUACUUCAGGUUUUUUGAGAGAAUUCUUCUUCCCCCCUGUGUUAAUCAUUUAGGACAUGAGCAGUCUUAAAUGGGCAAUAAAGGGGACGGACACAAAAGUAGAAAACAGCAAUUAAGAAAUGUUAUUGUCGUUUAAGACGCUCACCUCCUGGGGUUUUGUGCUCUUUUCAAACCAGGUGCUUCAGUCGGACACUCCUCUAACCUGCACACAGUAUUAACAUAAUACAUUUAAUGCAUAGAACAAAUUUAAGAGGUACUAUUAUGGGAUUAAAGUGAAGAGUUUGCACCACCAGGAUUCUUAUUCCACUUGGUUAUAAGCAAAAACAUCAAGAGGAAAGCAUUAAUUAUAUAAUUAACCUUUUACUUUUCUCUGAACAUUACACGGAGUAAUCAACAUUUCCACAAUCAUGACAGGUCCAAUCCAGAACAUUACCCCAUUCGUGCAUAAAUUACUUAUACAUAUAUCCAGUUCCUUUAAUUAUUUUAUUUUUUAUACAAUUGCACGGGAUAUAAAUAUAUGAAUAUUUCAAUUGUCUAAACAUGACUUGCAGUAAAAAGUAAAUGGAUUGUCCACGAGUAAAAAAAGGCUUACAUUUCAGUAUGCCUUAAAAUCAUUCACUAAAAUCUCCCAAUGUCUGAAAUGUUGUAACAUUCAGUUCUAAAAAUGUGUAAUGUUGAAGAUAAAUAUUUUAGAAAAUAUCAUUUCUGAACAAUUCUACACACAACAGUUUAGGACUGUUGCAUAAUGCAACAAGGUAAAAAAAAAAAAAAAAAAAAAAAAAAAAAAUCUUCCCAAAACACUAAAAAUAAAAUAACUAGUCCCGUAAUCUCAGUCCAGCACAUAUGCUAAUAUUAUAUUAUGCUAAUAUUAUAUUAAAGUUAGUACAAAGUUUGUGAACGAAAAAUAGUCUGAAGAGCUACAGAGGUUUAUGUUAAUUUACAGUAAUUCUCUCAAGAGAUUUGGAGGCGAUUUACAUCUUAGAUUUUCGUAAAGCAUAAAAGGGAGCAGGGAAAAGAUAGUGUUUUAAUAAAACGUCAAGAACUUUCAUUUAAGCCAUUUGGCAGGCACUCCUAUCCAGAUUACAUUUACUUACAUUUAUCUCAUUUAUACACCUGAACAGUCGAGGGCUAAGGGCCCAACAGUGGCAGGCUGGCAGUGCUGGGAUCUGAACUCAACCUUUCAAGCAGUCUUAACCACUGAAAUUUAAUCCCUAGGCCUAAUACAAUCGGUAGACUACAUAUGAAACUUUGAGUAGAUCCUGUGUUAAUACAGAUGUUAUCAUGUGCAUGCCACACGAGGCUCUACAUUGAAACACACCAUCCCUACACAGGAUCUGUACAAACACGUGGCCGGCCUCACAAAGCCUGCUUGAAUAACAUUAAAUACAUUUAAAAGCAAACCUAGCUGCAUCACAUGCUCCUGGAAAGUAAACACGUGAUCAUUAACGCGAAUGAAUUUCACAUUUGUCUUACUUAAAAUAACGUCUGACUGAAAAGAAGCAGCUCUCACCUUACCCUUCCAACGGAGAGACGAGAAAGACCACGUUAAGGAACUCUUCCAAAAGAGACACGAGGAAGAAAUGAAUUGUGGGUCGUGCGCAUGCGCACACUGGCCGUAGCCUCAAUACAGGUUUAUUACAGGACAUUGGAAAAGUUCCAACAUAUCUGCCUUGUUUUUCUGUUCAUGUUGACGUCGUGUGAAAAUUAUAUAUUUUUAUAAAGAGUUAAACUUACAUGAAUAAUGUAACGUUACACGAACACAUAAUUCAGGAUUAAUACCACAACGAAAUCCAAAUUUUGCGACUCUGUAAUCCUCGCUGAUUCCUUGUUCA
This is a long non-coding RNA of Ictalurus punctatus (channel catfish), 3323 nucleotides long. Lineage: Eukaryota; Metazoa; Chordata; Actinopteri; Siluriformes; Ictaluridae. The record is from Ensembl.